AGGCCCAGCAGGGGAUCGAACCCUGGAUCUUUGGUUUACAAGACCAAUGCCUUACCACUUGGCCACUGAGCC
Molecule: transfer RNA, 72 nt
Filed under: Cordylochernes scorpioides
Lineage: Eukaryota; Metazoa; Arthropoda; Arachnida; Pseudoscorpiones; Chernetidae
Description: tRNA-Thr
Source: RNAcentral